RNAcentral lists this ribosomal RNA (490 nucleotides) under uncultured bacterium. RNAcentral's name for it is "partial 16S ribosomal RNA". It matches the Rfam family "Bacterial small subunit ribosomal RNA", at positions 29 to 507 of the family's 1533-position model. The record is from RNAcentral.
AGUGAACGCUGGCGGCAGGCCUAAUACAUGCAAGUCGAACGGCAGCACAGUGGAGCUUGCUCCAUGGGUGGCGAGUGGCGGACGGGUGAGGAAUACAUGGGAAUCUGCCCAGUCGUGGGGGAUAACGUAGGGAAACUUACGCUAAUACCGCAUGCGCCCUUCGGGGGAAAGCCGGGGACCUUCGGGCCUGGCGCGAUUGGAUGAGCCCAUGUUCGAUUAGCUAGUUGGCGGGGUAAAGGCCCACCAAGGCGACGAUCGAUAGCUGGUCUGAGAGGAUGAUCAGCCACACUGGGACUGAGACACGGCCCAGACUCCUACGGGAGGCAGCAGUAGGGAAUAUUGGACAAUGGGCGCAAGCCUGAUCCAGCCAUGCCGCGUGAGUGAAGAAGGCCCGCGGGUUGUAAAGCUCUUUUGUCCGGGAAGAAAAGCAUCGGGCUAAUACCUCGGUGUUCUGACGGUACCGGAAGAAUAAGCACCGGCUAACUUCGUG